GACACGAGCCAGGUCGAUCGGGGCGGCUCAGCUGCACUUCGCGCCGCUGCGCGAGUCCCGAGCGACGGACUCCGUAGCGAGUACGCAGGUGCAACUUCGGCUGGUCAACCGAAAGAUGUCGAAACAAAUUUCGUACGCAUGGCCAAAGUCAACGAGUGUUAACGGAGUAACACAUGCAGCUUAACACAGAUUGUAGUGCAAGCGGCGACAAUACAAACGAGUCGGAUACGGCAUCGUUUAGCCGCGUGUACUGAGUGCGGUUUGACAAGUAGCGUUGCAGUAACCUGUAGACGUCGUGUCCACUCUGUUAGCAGGAGCAUUUAUAGACUAUAUAUAUGACAACAUCACAAAAUUGUUACUACGAGCACUGUGAGAAUGAAGUGUACUCCGCAGUUCCACUGACCUUUAAUAAAGAAGACGGCCAGCUGCAACCAUGCCAGAGUGCUGACUACUUGAAGUGCAGCGAAUGGAAGCGCAUCGCAUCAAGAACAACAGUCGAGGAAUGAACCUCAUCGCACGAGGUGGUCGCGGGCGUUCAGUUUCCCACGUUCCAGAAAUAA
RNAcentral lists this long non-coding RNA (560 nucleotides) under Dermacentor andersoni. Its description in RNAcentral is "uncharacterized LOC126543962". Lineage: Eukaryota; Metazoa; Arthropoda; Arachnida; Ixodida; Ixodidae. The record is from RNAcentral.